AUACGAAGGUUCCGAGCGUUAUUGGGAAUCACUGGGCGUAAAGGGAGCGUAGGCUGUAGGGUAAGUCAGAUGUGAAAUCUCAGAGCUCAACUCUGAAACUGCAUCCGAUACUGCCGUACUAGAGUAAUGGAGGGGUAACUGGAAUUCUCGGUGUAGCAGUGAAAUGCGUAGAUAUCGAGAGGAAGACCAACGGCGAAGGCAGGUUACUGGACAUUUACUGACGCUGAGGCUCGAAGGCUAGGGUAGCGAAAGGGAUUAGAUACCCCAGUAGUCC
This 274-nucleotide ribosomal RNA is filed under the name uncultured bacterium. RNAcentral's name for it is "partial 16S ribosomal RNA". It matches the Rfam family "Bacterial small subunit ribosomal RNA", at positions 523 to 796 of the family's 1533-position model. The record is from RNAcentral.